CUCAUGGGCCUAUUGUGAGGUAAUACAUGUGGAACUCAGUACAAUGCCUACAACAGUCUAAGCCAUCAUCAAAAGACACCAUGAAAGUGUUCAAAGCAAUGGGAUGAAAAGGUAUCUGUUCACUUCAGGUAGGAACCCAAGCCACCUGAAGCUGCUCCGGGAGGGCCCAUUGUCUUUCUUCCUACAGAUACCCAAAAGACAUGAACUUCCUCAAAACCCUACUUAACGCUUCACUCAGGAUUGCCCAUAAUCUACCCUGCCCACCUGUGGCCCCCAAACAGGGACUAUAAUCUUGACGGGGUCCAUCUGGCUGAGGUCCUCCUCUUUACCGAUACCUGGAGGGAUUCUUCACUGAGGACCAGAAGUUAGAGACAACAGAACUACUUGUUGGCUAAGAAAUAAACUCACACCGUGGGAUGAGCUAUGNUGAAUGGUGUAUCAAUAUUGCACACCCCUGGACACACACACACACCAAUGAUAAGGAAUGAGUUUUCAUGAGGAUAAAUCAUCAGAUACAUCGGAUAAAUUCAUGCAGGCUGCUUACAACGGUGUCCGGCGCAAAGCAAGUUCCAGGAGGCCUUGGGGACUCUGUGGCGGCUCACAACCAAGGGGCCUGAGGACAAUUCCCCACUGCGCCUUGUGCCAAGUCUUGUUUCACCUUCCUCCACGCUGGAAUCAUCUCUCUGAAGUGAAACCAGGACUCCACACACACCUGAGGACUCAGUGGGGAUCUGAACACACCGCCACAGGUUCAGGGCGGAUCUGCUUCCUUCUUUGAGUGGAUCUACUCUACUGUCAAGAGAGGAGACAGAACCAGGAAGGACAGAGAAGCCCCCGGGGCGCUGAGGCCUCUGCUCAACACCAAGUGCAUCACUACCCCACCUGGUGGAGUCCUCACAGCCCUAGGAGAGGCAUCAUUGCUAUACUUUAUAGAAAAUGUAAAAUGAUAAGAGAGGUCAAGUGGCAUGAUUAAAGGUCACACUGAAAUAGCCAUGGGGAUCAGGAACAAUUAGGGGGCUGUCUGACUCAAAAAUCUGGGCCCUUACUUCUAAGGCCCCCACCAUCUCAUAAAACCUCCCAUCUCUGGAUGGCCCCCUCCUACCCAGGAGCAGCCAUCCCUUUGAUUAUUUAGCUCAAAGGAGGAAAGUAAGUCAUUCAGUUCCAUGCGGCCUUCCAGAUGGAGUCACCAAAGGAACAAAGUGUGCCUUAGACCUAGAGAACCCGGACUGGCUGGGUGUGUAUCCCAUUCCUUCUGGGUGUGGCCGGGACACAGCGAUGCUUGUGAAAUGCAAGGGCUGUGAAAGGAGUCAGGUUGAGGAUGUGGCUGAGCAGACACUGACCUGCGCAGCAUCUCCAGUACACCUCGGGCUCCAGCCCAGGCCGUGCCAUAAGCAGGCUGUGAAGCAGGAACAAUUGCACGUCAUAAACCCCCGUAAGGGCACAGAGCACCUACUCUGCCCUGACUGAUGGGAGACACAACCUCAACUGCUCCCUCAAGCUUCCCUAGUUUCCAGCACUGGGAGGAGGCACCCACAGUUCCCAUAGCCUGCACUCCCACGUGCAGCUUAGAUACCUCUUUUCCAUCUAUGAUCUCAUUCGACCACAAGUGGAGGUAGAGUCAAGAGUCCUGGGUUCAAAUCCAAGAUCUUCCAUUUACCAGCUGUGGGCUGUGAGUCAUUUACCACUCUCACUACGGCUCCGUGAGAUUUUCACUGGGUAGGUGAGGAGAUUUGGCUCAUAGAGGGCAUGAGCAUAAAUGACAGAAAAGGGUUUUAAAA
This is a long non-coding RNA of Vulpes vulpes (red fox), 1778 nucleotides long. The record is from Ensembl. Lineage: Eukaryota; Metazoa; Chordata; Mammalia; Carnivora; Canidae.